CUGGGCCCGUGGGUCCAACCGGACCCAUAAUUUAAAAGAAGCAUCAGCUUCUUCUUCCUCACUUCAUUCACCACACAGCAACACAGCAAGGGGGGAGAGGAGAUUCCCAAACCCUCACCAUUCCUUUCAACUACCAUAACUUCCUCAUUUGAGCUCCAAUCGCUGCACCGUUUGCGGCCACGCGUCCACCGCGUCGAGCUCUACCUUUCUAUCCGAACAAUUUCACCGGUUCAAGUUAGCUUCCGAGACUUAUGGGCUCAAGCUAUUGAGCACAUGGGUAUGGUGUAGAUUAAGUGGGUAUAUAAGCAUUGGAAAUUGACUUGGGAGUAAUUGGAGGCUUGUUGGUGAUCAAGCUUGGUUUGGGGGCUAUUUUAAUUGAGCUUGGAGGGGCUGUAAUUUUGAGUUGUGAGGAUGGCUUGGGUAAACUAAGUGAUCGGCCAAGGUAUGGUUUAAGUUUCGCACGUUUAAUAUUUACGGUGUUGUGAAAACUUAGGUUAGAAGAACCAUAGGAUAAGUUGAAUUUGUUAAUGGCAUUUAAUGAGUAGCUUUGUAUUGUUGUUGGUAUAAUUGUUGAUGAACAUAUAUUGGAAUUAUGAGAUAUUGAGGUUAUUAAUUUUAUGUCCUUGGACUUGUUUAUAAUGGGUUGUGUUGAUGUUGAUAUAUUGAUGGAUUGUGAUUGGUGUUUGUUACUAAAAUGUGUUAUGUGAAGUUGAUGGAUUGAUGUGUAUGAAGGGUUGAUUUAUGUUAAUGGUAUUUAAUUGGUAUAUGUUGAUGGAAGGUUGAUAAAUAUAUGAUGAAAGUUGGUAUAGGUGAAGAAUUAAUAUGAAUAAAUGAAGGGUUAUUGAUGUAUGAGGUAAAAGUGGAUAAUUAUUGAUAAUCAAGGUUGGUUAAGUUGAUUAAAGGUUAUAUUGGUAAUGGUUGUUGAUGAAUUGGGUUGAUAUGGUAUUGUAAUGCAAGUUAAAAUGGUAAGAAACUUAAAUUGGUGAAAGUGAGGUUUUGUUGAAAAUUGGUUAAAACUAAAUUUUGAUGAACUUUGAACGUCCAUAAUAUUCCUCUUAAAUUUUGGAUUGAAUUGUGGUUUGUUGAAAAUAAAAGAUGAUUUUAAGAGCUUUUGAUUAAUAUCAACUUUGUGGAAAACGAAAUUUUGUGGAGGAAGUUAUGGACGUUGCAAGUUUAGUGUUUAAAUAUGUGUUUAGGAUGGCCAAACAGGUUUGCUGCAAGCUUUUUGGGCAUUCUGCCCAUUUUUUAAAAAACGCCCACCCACGCGUACGCGUGGCUCACGCAUAUGCGUGGCGUGGAAUUUUUGGCGACGCAUGCAUACGUGUGUGUGCAUAUCACUACAAGAGACACGCCGAAUAACGGCGGUUUUUUUAGGAAUUUGCGGCGAUUUUUAACCGCCGCAAAACAAAAUUCCAGCGGUUCUACAAGCGUCGCCUAUUAAGGGGUGGAGA
This is a non-coding RNA of Arachis ipaensis, 1451 nucleotides long. The record is from RefSeq and is a predicted model, not a curated record. Lineage: Eukaryota; Viridiplantae; Streptophyta; Magnoliopsida; Fabales; Fabaceae.